This 332-nucleotide unclassified non-coding RNA is filed under the name soil metagenome. Its description in RNAcentral is "partial contains 5.8S ribosomal RNA, internal transcribed spacer 2, and large subunit ribosomal RNA". The stretch from base 1 to 120 matches the Rfam family "5.8S ribosomal RNA", at positions 35 to 154 of the family's 154-position model. The record is from RNAcentral.
GAUGAAGAACGCAGCGAAAUGCGAUAAGUAAUGUGAAUUGCAGAAUUCAGUGAAUCAUCGAAUCUUUGAACGCACAUUGCGCCCGCCAGUAUUCUGGCGAGCAUGCCUGUUCGAGCGUCAUUUCAACCAUCAAGCCCCAGGCUUGUGUUGGAGCCCUGCGGCUGCCGCAGCCUCCCAAAACCAGUGGCGGGCUCGCUAUCACACCGAGUGCAGUAGUUUACUCUUCGCUCAGGGCGUGUGGCGGGUGCUAGCCGUGAAACCCCCAACUUCUCAAGGUUGACCUCGGAUCAGGUAGGAAUACCCGCUGAACUUAAGCAUAUCAUAAGCGAGGA